RNAcentral lists this ribosomal RNA (1367 nucleotides) under Curtobacterium sp. Its description in RNAcentral is "partial 16S ribosomal RNA". It matches the Rfam family "Bacterial small subunit ribosomal RNA", at positions 67 to 1431 of the family's 1533-position model. The record is from RNAcentral. Lineage: Bacteria; Bacillati; Actinomycetota; Actinomycetes; Micrococcales; Microbacteriaceae.
CGAUGAAUGCCCAGUCUUGCUGGGUGGAUUAGUGGCGAACGGGUGAGUAACACGUGAGUAACCUGCCCCUGACUCUGGGAUAAGCGUUGGAAACGACGUCUAAUACUGGAUAUGAUCACUGGCCGCAUGGUCUGGUGGUGGAAAGAUUUUUUGNUUGGGGAUGGACUCNCGGCCUAUCAGCUUGUUGGUGAGGUAAUGGCUCACCAAGGCGACGACGGGUAGCCGGCCUGAGAGGGUGACCGGCCACACUGGGACUGAGACACGGCCCAGACUCCUACNGGAGGCAGCAGUGGGGAAUAUUGCACAAUGGGCGAAAGCCUGAUGCANCAACGCCGCGUGAGGGAUGACGGCCUUCGGGUUGUAAACCUCUUUUAGUAGGGAAGAANCGAAAGUGACGGUACCUGCANAAAAAGCACCGGCUAACUACNUGCCANCAGCCNCGGUAAUACGUAGGGUGCAAGCKUUGUCCGGAAUUAUUKGGCKWAAAGAGCUCGUAGGCGGKUUGUCGCGUCUGCUNGUGAAAUCCCGAGGCUCAACCUCGGGCUUGCAGUGGGUACGGNCAGACUAGAGUGCGGUAGGGGAGAUUGGAAUUCCUGGUGUAGCGGUGGAAUGCGCAGAUAUCAGGAGGAACACCGNAUGGCGAAGGCAGAUCUCUGGGCCGUNAACUGACGCUGAGGAGCGAAAGCAUGGGGAGCGAACAGGAUUAGAUACCCUGGUAGUCCAUGCCGUAAACGUUGGGCGCUAGAUGUAGGGACCUUUCCACGGUUUUCUGUGUCGUAGCUAAACGCAUUAAGCGCCCCGCCUGGGGAGUACGGCCGCAAGGCUNAAAACUCAAAGGAAUUUGACGGGGGCCCCGCACAAGCGGCGGAAGCAUGCGGAUUAAUUCNGAUNGCAMCGCGAAGAACCUUACCAAGGCUUNGACAUACACCGGAAANCGGCCAGARAUGGUCGCCCCCUUGUGGKCGGUGUACAGGKGGUGCAUGUUGUCGUCAGCUCGUGUCSUGARAUGUUGGGUUAAGUCCCGCAACGAGCGCAACCCUCGUUCUAUGUUGCCAGCGGGUUAUGCCGGGGACUCAUAGGAGACUGCCGGGGUCAACUCGGAGGAAGGUGGGGAUGACGUCAAAUCAUCAUGCCCCUUAUGUCUUGGGCUUCACGCAUGCUACAAUGGCCGGUACAAAGGGCUGCGAUACCGUAAGGUGGAGCGAAUCCCAAAAAGCCGGUCUCAGUUCGGAUUGAGGUCUGCAACUCGACCUCAUGAAGUCGGAGUCGCUAGUAAUCGCAGAUCAGCAACGCUGCGGUGAAUACGUUCCCGGGCCUUGUACACACCGCCCGUCAAGUCAUGAAAGUCGGUAACACCCGAAGCCGGU